GCACAAGCGGUGGAGCAUGUGGAUUAAUUCGAUGCAACGCGAAGAACCUUACCUGGGUUUGACAUGCACAGGAUGUGCCUAGAGAUAGGUAUUCCCUUGUGGCCUGUGUGCAGGUGGUGCAUGGCUGUCGUCAGCUCGUGUCGUGAGAUGUUGGGUUAAGUCCCGCAACGAGCGCAACCCUUGUCUCAUGUUGCCAGCGCGUGAUGGCGGGGACUCGUGAGAGACUGCCGGGGUCAACUCGGAGGAAGGUGGGGAUGACGUCAAGUCAUCAUGCCCCUUAUGUCCAGGGCUUCACACAUGCUACAAUGGCCGGUACAAAGGGCUGCGAUGCCGUGAGGUGGAGCGAAUCCUUUCAAAGCCGGUCUCAGUUCGGAUCGGGGUCUGCAACUCGACCCCGUGAAGUCGGAGUCGCUAGUAAUCGCAGAUCAGCAACGCUGCGGUGAAUACGUUCCCGGGC
RNAcentral lists this ribosomal RNA (457 nucleotides) under uncultured bacterium. RNAcentral's name for it is "bacterial SSU rRNA". It matches the Rfam family "Bacterial small subunit ribosomal RNA", at positions 923 to 1379 of the family's 1533-position model. The record is from RNAcentral.